This 253-nucleotide unclassified non-coding RNA is filed under the name uncultured Caryophanales bacterium. Its description in RNAcentral is "uncultured Bacillales bacterium contains 16S-23S intergenic spacer region". It matches the Rfam family "Bacterial small subunit ribosomal RNA", at positions 524 to 776 of the family's 1533-position model. The record is from RNAcentral. Lineage: Bacteria; Bacillati; Bacillota; Bacilli; Caryophanales.
UACGAAGGUGGCAAGCGUUGUCCGGAAUUAUUGGGCGUAAAGCGAACGCAGGCGGUCCCUUAAGUCUGAUGUGAAAGCACCCGGCUCAACCGGGGAGGGUCAUUGGAAACUGGCAGACUUGAGUGCAGAAGAGGAGAGUGGAAUUCCAUGUGUAGCGGUGAAAUGCGCAGGGAUAUGGAGGAACACCAGUGGCGAAGGCGACUUUCUGGUCUGUAACUGACGCUGAGGCGCGAAAGCGUGGGGAGCAAACAGG